AAAAAAGUGGGCGUCCCCCCUCUUCUUGUCACCAAAAAGAAAGGAGGGGCGUCCAAGAAAGGAGGGGCGUCCAACUCUUAGACGCCCCAUAUCCCAUACAUCUAGACUUCCUUCCCAACCCCUUUUGAAGAAAUUUUGUGAGGCUUUUACUACUGGUUCUUAGGCAUCAAAGAGAGGCUCUCUUGCUGAUUUUGCAGCAGAAAAU
RNAcentral lists this long non-coding RNA (205 nucleotides) under Elaeis guineensis (African oil palm). RNAcentral describes it as "long non-coding RNA (EGUI_LNC081083)". Lineage: Eukaryota; Viridiplantae; Streptophyta; Magnoliopsida; Arecales; Arecaceae. The record is from RNAcentral.